Molecule: non-coding RNA, 104 nt
Filed under: Bacillus thuringiensis serovar israelensis
Lineage: Bacteria; Bacillati; Bacillota; Bacilli; Caryophanales; Bacillaceae
Description: Purine
Rfam family: Purine riboswitch aptamer
About the family: Riboswitches are metabolite binding domains within certain messenger RNAs that serve as precision sensors for their corresponding targets. Allosteric rearrangement of mRNA structure is mediated by ligand binding, and this results in modulation of gene expression.
Source: RNAcentral
AUAAUUUUGAAUAACAUCACUCGUAUAUACUCGGUAAUAUGGUCCGAGCGUUUCUACCUAGUUCCCAAUGAAAGAACUGGACUACGGGUUAAAGUAUUCGGCCG